Molecule: ribosomal RNA, 194 nt
Filed under: uncultured bacterium
Lineage: Bacteria
Description: partial 16S ribosomal RNA
Rfam family: Bacterial small subunit ribosomal RNA
Source: RNAcentral
CCUACGGGAGGCAGCAGUAGGGAAUCUUCCGCAAUGGGCGAAAGCCUGACGGAGCAACGCCCCGUGAGCGAAGAAGGCCUUCGGGUCGUAAAGCUCUGUUGUCAGGGAAGAACAAGUACCGGAGUAACUGCCGGUACCUUGACGGUACCUGACCAGAAAGCCCCGGCUAACUACGUGCCAGCAGCCGCGGUAAU